Molecule: transfer RNA, 72 nt
Organism: Ipomoea nil (Japanese morning glory)
Lineage: Eukaryota; Viridiplantae; Streptophyta; Magnoliopsida; Solanales; Convolvulaceae
Rfam family: tRNA
About the family: Transfer RNA (tRNA) molecules are approximately 80 nucleotides in length.
Source: Rfam
GGGUGUUUGGUUUAGGGGUAUGAUUCUUGCUUUGGGUGCGAGAGGUCAUGAGUUCAAUUCUCAUAACACCCC